RNAcentral lists this ribosomal RNA (326 nucleotides) under uncultured eukaryote. RNAcentral describes it as "partial 18S ribosomal RNA". It matches the Rfam family "Eukaryotic small subunit ribosomal RNA", at positions 1470 to 1796 of the family's 1831-position model. The record is from RNAcentral.
CCCUUAGAUGUUCUGGGCCACACGCGCGCUACACUGAUGCAUUCAACGAGCCUAUCCUUGACCGACAGGUCCGGGUAAUCUUUGAAUCUGCAUCGUGACGGGGAUAGAUUAUUGCAAUUAUUAAUCUUCAACGAGGAAUGCCUAGUAAGCGUGAUUCAUCAAAUCGCGUUGAUUACGUCCCUGCCCUUUGUACACACCGCCCGUCGCUCCUACCGAUUGAGUGUGUUGGUGAGGAGUUUGGAUUGGCCUCGGAAGGUGGUUCGCCACCGUCCGUAGCUGAGAAGUUCUCCAAACCGCCCCACUUAGAGGAAGGAGAAGUCGUAACA